This 255-nucleotide ribosomal RNA is filed under the name uncultured bacterium. Its description in RNAcentral is "partial 16S ribosomal RNA". It matches the Rfam family "Bacterial small subunit ribosomal RNA", at positions 524 to 776 of the family's 1533-position model. The record is from RNAcentral.
UACGUAGGGUGCAAGCGUUGUCCGGAAUUAUUGGGCGUAAAGAGCUCGUAGGCGGUUUGUCGCGUCUGCUGUGAAAACCCGAGGCUCAACCUCGGGCCUGCAGUGGGUACGGGCAGACUAGAGUGCGGUAGGGGAGAUUGGAAUUCCUGGUGUAGCGGUGGAAUGCGCAGAUAUCAGGAGGAACACCAAUGGCGAAGGCAGAUCUCUGGGCCGUAACUGACGCUGAGGAGCGAAAGCAUGGGGGAGCGAAACAGG